RNAcentral lists this ribosomal RNA (506 nucleotides) under uncultured bacterium. RNAcentral describes it as "partial 16S ribosomal RNA". It matches the Rfam family "Bacterial small subunit ribosomal RNA", at positions 29 to 523 of the family's 1533-position model. The record is from RNAcentral.
AGUGAACGCUGGCGGUAGGCCUAACACAUGCAAGUCGAACGGCAGCACAGGAGAGCUUGCUCUCUGGGUGGCGAGUGGCGGACGGGUGAGGAAUACAUCGGAAUCUACUCUGUCGUGGGGGAUAACGUAGGGAAACUUACGCUAAUACCGCAUACGACCUACGGGUGAAAGCAGGGGACCUUCGGGCCUUGCGCGAUUGAAUGAGCCGCUGUCGGAUUAGCUAGUUGGCGGGGUAAAGGCCCACCAAGGCGACGAUCCGUAGCUGGUCUGAGAGGAUGAUCAGCCACACUGGAACUGAGACACGGUCCAGACGCCUACGGGAGGCAGCGGUGGGGAAUAUUGGACAAUGGGCGCAAGCCUGAUCCAGCCAUACCGCGUGAGUGAAGAAGGCCUUCGGGUUGUAAAGCCCUUUUGUUGGGAAAGAAAUCCAGCUGGCUAAUACCCGGUUGGGAUGACGGUACCCAAAGAAUAAGCACCGGCUAACUUCGUGCCAGCCGCCGCCGUAA